Molecule: long non-coding RNA, 8009 nt
Filed under: Homo sapiens (human)
Lineage: Eukaryota; Metazoa; Chordata; Mammalia; Primates; Hominidae
Description: HSALNT0230488
Source: RNAcentral
UAUAAAGCCAUUAAGGAAUGGAUAAUUUCCAUAUUGUAAACAUUAUCUACCUACCUACUUACACAUACACAUACAAUUUCUGGAUUGUAGAAAACGAUUAAAAGGCUCUAACCUAUUGUAUGAGUUUUUAAUAAUAUUACUAAAAUAUGUCAUGUAAUAUUACAUAAUAUUACAAAGAAAGAGAUAUGUCAAUAUCCCUCAUGAACAUAAAUGCAGAAAGUCUGAGUUGGAGAUGUUGACUGGGAGAAAUCAACACGAGAAUGGUAACAGAACCCAUCCCUCUACAAAAUUAAGGAUUGAAUUAAAGGAAUGUUACAUCAUCACCAAGUAUGGUUUAUGAUGGCUCAGGAUAUCUCAUUAACUCAUUAAAAAAUAAACACAAUGUGAUUAUUUAAAUCAAUUCAGGAAAAUAAUGAUUUACAAAAUUAACACCUAUUCCUUAUUUUUAAAAUGUCUUAGCUAUGAAUAGAAGGGAAAUUCUCAGCUUGAUAAAUGUAUACAUUAGAAGUCACUAACAUGCAUCCUACUAUUGGUGAUAUCAGAGGAUUUCCAAUAAAAUUAGGAACAAGGUCAAGAUGUCCAGUAACACUGUGGCUAUUCACAGUGGAAGGAGGGGUGGAAAGUCAGGAGCAGGUGUGGGAGGUAAGAAGGUAAACUAGACAGAACCUAUUGGAUGUAGAGCUAAGCGGGGAACUAAGUAACUCCAGGAGGAGGCCAAGCUUCCUGGCCUUGGCACUGGCAAGGGUGGGGGCAGAAGUUGUUACUGAGAUCAGGAGCACAGUAAGAACAUGUGUAAGGGGUCUAAGAAGGUCAAUAUUGGACAUGCUGACAUGUUGACUUUGAGAGCCCCAUUGAGAUGGCAUCCUGGAGCUUGAGAGAAGUCUGAGUUGGAGCUGUAAAAUCAGGAGGUCAGCACAAAGAUGAUAAAGACAGCCAUAGGAGGUGCUGAGAUGGCCCAGAGAAGCAGAGGAACAAGGUACUGCACUCCACGCUCCAGCUAGAGUGAACAGUGAGUCUGUUCCAAGCCUAUUGGCUCCUCUCUCAUCUCAGUGCAUUUACUUCUUCCAUUGGAACUCCCCACAAUCCUCUGCCCCCCAUCCCACUCUCUCGGCCAACUCUUACUCAUCCUUCAUGACUCGGCUUAGUUAUCAACACCGCCUUCUCACAUCAACCCCUGUAAGGCUAGAUCCCACUCUCUGUGCUCUCAGAGGGUCAGCAGUCCGACACAAAAAGUCAGGGUUCUGCUAUAAUGCUAAUAUAACAGAAAACUGACAAUCUCAGUGUCUCACAACAACAAAUAUUUUAUUUUUUUGCCCAUCAUGGGGCACGAGCUGGGGCAGCUCUGCUGCAGGCUGCAGCUGAUGAGGUCUGUUCCUCAUGUCUCUCAUUCUAGGAUGUGCUUCCAUUCUAGGACAUGCUCUUAUUUUUGCAGGUGGUGGAAGUGCAAGAGGCCAAGCCUAGCUGUAAGCACAUAGAAAGCCUCUGCUUUGUCACAUCUGCUCACAUUCUGUUGAUCAAAGCAAGGAACCUGGCCAAGCUCAAAGUCAGAGGGGCAGGAAAGCAGACUCCGUAGUACAGAUUCACAAGGCAGAGGUCAUGGGCAUGCAAUUUCAUCAUAGGAAGGAAGUGAAGAAUUGGGGACAACAAUCCAACCCACUCCACUGCUGAGUACCACCUCUGAGUGUCAGGCUUUAUGGCCUUGGCCUAGUUGCUUGUCUUCCCACUAGGUUCUCAGUGCCUUCAGGACAGGACCCUGGCCAACUUACUUAUUACGGUAUCUCCAGUUAUGACCACAGUGCCUGCUCUAGUGAGUCAUGGUGAUCCAUAUACAUCUACUGAAUGAAAAAUUGGAUGUGAGGGGUCUCAGAGCCAAGAUGGAAGAGUGUUUCAGAAAAAACAGGGAGUGAUCAACACCCGAAGGACCUCAAGACUGGAGAGUACUGUUCAGAUUGAAUAACUUUAUGUUCAUUGUUAACCCUGGAAAAUACAGCUUCAGGGAAGUGCCAGGGCUGGGGAGUCAGAAGUCAGACUGCAGUGGGAUGGGCAGUGAAUGAGUGGUGAGGAAGUACAGGUGGUGAGUGAAGACCACUUUUCCAACUCUUAGGGAAUAGGUUAUAAGUAAUGUAUGGUAAAGGAGGGAUUUUAAAGAUAAGAGAGGUUCAAACGAGUUUACAGGCUCAAGGGAACAGGCAAGUAAAGAGGGUACAUUAGUCUGUUUUGUGUUGCUAUGAAGGAAUACCUGAGACUGGGUAAUUUAUAAAGAGGUUUAUGUGCCUCACAGCUCUGUAGCCUGUGCAAGCAUAAAACCAUCAUCUGCUCAGCUUCUGGUGAUACUUCGGGAAGCUUUUACUCAUGGCGGAAGGCUCCGGGGAGUAGGCGUGUCACAUGGCGAGAGAGGGAGCAAGAGAGAGGCCAGGCUCUUUUAAACAAACAACUUUCACACGAACUAAUAGAGCAAGAACUCACUCAUUACUACCAGGGUAGCACCAAAUCAUUCAUAAGGGAUCCACCCCUAUGACCCCAACACCUCCUGCCAGGCCCCACCUCCAACAUUGGAAGUCAUAUUUCAACAUGAAAUUUGGAGAGGACAAACAUUCAAACUGUAUCAGAGGGAGACAUUGAAUAUACCUGCGAGAGAGAGGAUAACUGAGAGGGAGGUACGUUAGGUAGUGCAGCAGGGAUGAAAUGCAGCAUAGGCAGGUGUGUGUGCGUGUGUGUGUUUGUGAACAUUUGUCAUGUUUGGGCUGUUAAGCAUCCACCCAGCCCUCCUCGUUAGAGGAAAUCCCCACUGAGUGUGGUCUUGCGAGGAGGCAGUGCCUGGCUACUAGCUGUGGGAGCUGAGGGGCUGUGCUUUCCUCUUCUGUCCCCUGGUAGCAACAUACCAGCUUGUGACUUGAGCUCAGUCAGUCAAACACUCUCAACAGACUUUGAACACACCAAUGGAUAGUCAGUCAGGGCUCUUUCACGGUAGUGGUGGGUGCGCCCCACAGAAAACUCCUAUGCUCCCUCUUUUUGGUCUUCAGAGGUCACUGUGUUGCCCUAGUUUCACACUUCCUCUUGGUUCUAUGAGUCUUCAGUCCCCUUCCAGUGUGUUUUGUUUCUCUGUUUUGUUGUUGUUGUUGCUGCUAUUUGGUGUUUUUGCUUAUUGCUUGUUUUUUGUUAUUCUAUGGAUGACAGAGUCUAGCUGAUGGAGGAUGGGGUCAACAAGCCAGGACAGGAUGAUGCCAGGCUCUCACUCCUGGCAUCCCAGUCAAUCUGUGCCAUGUGGAGAUGAACAGAUUAACUGUACCCACAGAAAAGCUGCCAUGUUUUCUGAAUGUUGGUCAUUGCUAUAGCACCUUCCCAAUGUUUUUCAUGUCCACACAACAGCACCUUACAUGGAGCUGCAUUAUGUGCUACUGCCUAAUAUUUUAUUCCAGUUGACUAGAUUUUUAUUUAAAGACAUUGAUUUAAAAAUCACCAUUUCAAAUGAAAACCCAGAAUAAUUUGCUUUAGUUAAAAAAUAUAUACAUAUAUAGAAAACAAAAUAAUGUUAAGUUCUGGACGAAUACUAUUACAUGAUGAGGGUUCUCAUCCAAAGCUCUUUGUUAAAAGGGGAGAUUAGCAAAUGUUGUGGUUGUUAAAGACAUGUUACUCCCAAGCUGAGACUUCCUUCUUGAUUUAAUCGGACACACUGAAGCAGAAGCAGAAGCAGAAGGGAGUGACUUUCUCACUUUGUGAUUUAAUGUUAUUUAAGACUGAGUCAGCUCACCCUUAAAUCAUCUCAAAUGUCAAUGGGGUGCAUUUCCUGCCAUCUCUAGGCAGGGUGCAGCGAUAUGGGGCAGAGCAUGGAAAUUGCCAAAGGGAGGCACCAAAACAUUUAUGCUAUUGGAGUUUCAGGGAAGGUUUUACGGAAGUGGGACUUGAAUUCUGAAAUACACACAGGAGAGCAGAGGCCAUUUCAGUCAUGGGAAACAUAAAAAUAAGGAGGUGAAAGUAAACAGCGGGGAUAUAGGAUGGUAUAGACCAGCUAGGCUAGAGGGCAGAGGUUGGACACAAGCUCAGAAAGGGUCCUAUCCCUUCCCCCCGACCAUGGGUCUUCCCCAACUUUACCCUUUGUGGGCAGUGCCUUUGCUUUGCCAUCACCUGUUAUAUCUUGUGUCUUUAGCCUGUCCUUGCCCCUGGGAUGGGAGCCAUGCAUGGCCAGUUGUGAAUUAUUGUGCAGUAGCCAUUGUUUCCUAUUGACUUGCUAUGAGACGGGGUGGGUCUGGGUGUCCUGCUGGGUACUCCACUGGCUUCUAUGCCAGUGCUUAGCCGACUCCACCAAUUGGGUUGGCACAGCAGGUACCAAACUCUUGUGAAUCAGAUGCCAUGCUUUUUGCCAUUGCCAUGUUAGACAUAUACUACUCCUUAAUAACUACUCAAUAAUGAAAGCAACUCAUUGUUUAAAGGUGUAAAUAAAUCGACUUUAAAAAGACAUUUCAUAUUACUAUCAUAAAUGCAAAUCCAGCAUCAGUUGCUGUAAACAUGAGACAAUAAUUUAAAAUAAAUGCAUAACUAUCAAAAUAAUGCUUUUCAAGUACCAUAUAAAAUACCUGCUGAUAUUUUACCUCACUGCAAGAAAAUACUAGGCUAGAGAAAUGAAGCAGGUCCAUUUUUGGUAGAAAGGGGAAAAUCUUAGAGCCUCAGAGCUGGAUGGAGCCCCAGUAAAUGUCUAGGUCAUGGAUUGCAAGCUGUUUUCCCCCACCAAUAAUGGUCAUCCUUCCUCUUUCUUUCUCUCUGUCUCUUUUUUUUUUUUCCCUGGGAACGAUGCAUAAAGUAGCAAAACGUAGGGCUGAACCCUUUAAUGGGCUAUCUGUUUCUCUGGAGAAACCCAAAGAAACCCAUUCUGCAAACCUCAACCUUCAUCCCUUCCUCCCUCUUGUGCCAUGCUUGCCCCCAUACACAGAGAAGUAGCAUCAGUGCCCUCCACCACCCACAUCAGCAGCUAGGGGGAGACAGAAGCAAGUCAAUGGCCAAGGAGUGGAGGGUGGGCUGGGAGAGUUCACUUAGCUUUGUGACACCAGUGCACCCCCACAUUGGAUAGCACCCAAGGCCCUCAUCAAACAUUGAGUGCCAUGCUUGUUGAAGCCUGCAAAUAAUACCCCACGAGCCGCCAACUUCCUUUCCGAGGCACAUCUGCCUGGACCUCUGUUCUGUUUGGUGCCAAGGCACUAGGGAGGCUUUAAGGAGCAGGCCGUUGCCUUUCUCUACAUGUGCUUCAGGCCUGUCUUACCCUCCCCAUGGUCUCCGUCAUACUCCUUUCCUGAAUAUCAUUUCUUUCCCUUUCUCCUGCACACAAAAGCUCAACACGGAGUUCAUUCUGUGAGCCUAACCUUUUGCUUCCCGCACUUGGGCUGGCUCAAACGCCACUUGCAAAAAUGGUAAUCUCAGCAGGGCUGAGCUCAGUUCCUGCUGCCCCUUUCCAAGUUUUUGUUUCGUUGCAGAGCUCUAAACCAGUGUCUCCCUCUGUGCUUGGGAGUAAGAGCAGCAUCAGACCAUUGCAAACCUACUGGAUUGGCUGAUACUCAUUGACUGGAUGGAGAUUUCAGAGGCAAACCUAGGCUUCUCCAGAGGAAAGUUCUCAGAAGGCAGUCACAUCUGGACAGCAUUCCUUGACUACGCAUCAAUAUUCCAUCAUGUCAUUGCCGGCUGUGAGGAGGAAAGUGACCUCCUAAACAAAUCCGUGCACGUGUAAAUGACAGCUGCUGGUUUGAAUCUGUUUCUUCUCCCACCACUUCCUCUUCUGAUCAAAGAGCCCACCUUUUCAUUUGGAGGAACCAUUUCUCAACUGGUCUCAUUCUGUGAGGUUUAGAGGUAGGAAUUGAACUUAGCUCUGUCUAGAGCCAAAUCUACUCCAAAAGUGUUCUUAACCACUACUGUGGGGUGGCUGACAGUACAGGCUCUGGAGUGACAUCUGCCACAGUUCAAAUCUCAGCCAUACCUCAUACUAGCUAGGAGGCUGGGGUAAAUGCCGCUCACCUUUCUAGCCUUAAUUCCUUUAUCUCUCUCAUGAGCUUAUUGUGAGAAUUUAAAAGAUAUAAUAACCAGAAAGCACUUAGUAUAGUUCUUGGCUCAUUAAAGUGCUCAACAAAUAAUAACUAUUAAUGUUUAAAUUAUUAAGACUCUAGUUGGCUGAAGAAAAGUGAUAGGAAAGCUAGAGGCUCUGGUCUUUACUCUGGGAGCUUCUAGAGAACUCAGACUUUGGUUAUUUCUCUCCUGUCCCUGAGUCCUACCCACAUUGUAAGAGUGAGUGAGUGAGUGAUGAUGGUGUGUUUGUAGAAUUCACAAACCCAUUGAAUAUUCUUCCUGAAGCUUAGCUAAGUGAGCUCCCUGCCAGGAACUUAUGUGUGGACAGCCACGAAUCGUGGCAUCAAAUAAUAUUUAAUUUCACUUCUUCCUAAAUAUUACUGAAUUCCAUUCCCAGUAACUUUCCCUUUUGAAGUUCUCUUUUUGAGGCAGUUCAAGUGGAAAAAGAAAUAACCUAGAAGCAAGUAAAACAACCUUAUUCAAAAACAACAAAAAUCCUUCAGUCUGAAGAUAAUAUCAGCAUCUACUUUUUAAGGCUUCAGUACAGAUUAAAUAAAUAUCACAGCACUUACCGUGUGCUGGGCACUGCACUGUACUGCCCAGCACAUGGUUAGUACUUCAUAUAUCAGCUCAUCAUCAUCACUGUCAUCAUCAUCGUCGUCAUCAUCGUUGUCGUCAUCAUCAAUGUCAUCACCACCAUUGUCAUCAUCAUCAUUGUUGUUGUCAUAAUCAUCAAGGUCAUCAUCAUCAUCAAGGUCAUCAUCAUCAUAUUGCAACUUUUUUGAGGGCAUGGACAACAUCUUCUCCUUCUUUGCCUCAAAACAUCUACCUCGUUUAAAAUAAUCCAUUAUAUGAAAAAGAUACUUGCACAUGCAUGUCUAUAGCAGCAAAAUUUGCAAUUGCAAAAACGUGGAACCAACCCAAAUGCCCAUCAAUCAAUGAGAAAGAAACUGUGAUAUAUAUAUAUAUAUAUGAAUGAAUGAUGGAAUACUACUCAGCCAUAAAAAGAAAUGAAUUAAUGGCAUUCACAGUGACCUGAAUGAGACUGGAGACUAUUAUUCUAAGUGAAGUAACUCAGGAAUGGAAAACCAAACAUCAUAUGUUCUCACUAAUAAGUGGGAGAUAAGCCAUGAGGAUGCAAAGGCAUAAGAGUGACACAAUGGACUUUGGGCACUCAGGGAGAAAGGGUGGGAAGGGGAUGAGGGAUAAAAGACUACAAAUAAGGUGCAGUAUAUACUGCUCGGGGGAUAGGUGCACCAAAAUCUCACAAAUCCCCACUAAACAACUUACUCAUGUAACCAAACACCACCUGUUCCCCAAUAACCUAUGGAAAUAAAAAAAUUUAAAAAAACAAAAAACAGAAACAAAAAUCCAUCUACUUCCUUGAUCUCUUGCAUAGAACAGGCACCCGUUUAAUUGGAAAUGAGCAAACUUGUUGCUGAUGUUCCUCAGAUGAUUUGGUUUGACUCCAAGAGACUAUUCACAUCCACCAUCCAUUCAUCCAUCUAUCCACCAUUCAUCUUAUCCAUUUCUUCAUUCACCCACCAUUCAUCCCUCUGUUCACCAUCCAGCCAGCCAUCUAUCACCCAUUCAUCUAUCCCUCUACCAUCCAUUCCUUCCUUCAUUCACCCAGUAAAAGUUCAAUUGUGGGAAAACCUAUAGUUUUUAAAUCCUUUUAUUUUAUGACUGAUAUUAAUUGCUAUAUCCAAAAUGUCAAGAGAGAAUCAGCACAGAAAGUGAAUGUUAGAAAUGGAAUCAGAUGCAGAUGACUGGUCUUGGUAUCUGCCAUUUCCUCCCACCCAGAUGCCCUUUUGUUCUUAGAAGCCAAAGACAGUCAUCUUAGAAACUUUCGGGCAACAAAAUUCGUGCAGCCUUUGGAACUAAGAAUUACUAGUCUCUACUUUCUAAUGGUUUAGUAGUCAAUGGAUAUAUAUAAUUUAAGCCAUUUAAUUUGCUUUCAC